This 240-nucleotide unclassified non-coding RNA is filed under the name Hevea brasiliensis (rubber tree). Lineage: Eukaryota; Viridiplantae; Streptophyta; Magnoliopsida; Malpighiales; Euphorbiaceae. The record is from RNAcentral.
CUAUCACGGCAUUGUCUUCAGCGAGGAAUUCGGGCCGCAGGCGUUCAUCAUGCGCGCCCGCGCCGAAGGUUUGCGCGAUUUCGGCGCGUGCCUGUCGCCGACCAACGCGUUCCAGAUUUUGCAAGGCGNNNNNNNCUUCACGUCCGCAUGCAGCGCCAUGUGGAGAAUGCCGUCGCCGUUCUGGAAUUUCUGAAAUCGAACAAGGCCGUCGAGUGGGUGCUGCAUCCCUCGCUCGACAAU